Molecule: long non-coding RNA, 1656 nt
Organism: Oncorhynchus tshawytscha (Chinook salmon)
Lineage: Eukaryota; Metazoa; Chordata; Actinopteri; Salmoniformes; Salmonidae
Source: Ensembl
CGAACUGAACGUGAGAGAAAAAACAAUAACACCUCAGGAUAACAGAGGGCUAAAUAAAGGGGAAGUAAUCAGGGAAGUGAUGAAGUCCAGGUGUGCCUAAUGAUGAGACGCAGGGGUGCGUAAUGAAGGUUGCCAGGUGUGUGUAAUGAGGGUUAACAGGUGUGUGUAAUGAGGGUUUCAGGUGUGAGUAAUGAAGGUUGCCAGAAGUGCGUAAUGAAGGUUUCGAGGUGUGAGUAAUGAAGGUUGCUAGAUGUGAGUAAUGAAGGUUUCCAGGUGUGAGUAAUGAAGGUUGCCAGGUGUGCGUAGUGAAGGUUUCCAGGUGUGAGUAAUGAAGGUUGCCAGGUGUGCGUAGUGAAUGUUUCCAGGUGUGAGUAAUGAGUGUUACCAGAUGUGCGUAAUGAAGGUUGCCAGGUGUGAGUAAUGAAGGUUUGCAGAUGUGCGUAACGAAGGUUGCCAGGUAUGAGUAAUGAAGGUUGCCAGAUGUGCAUAAUGAAGGUUGCCAGGUGUGUGUAACGAGGGUUGCCAGGUGUGAGUAAUGAAGGUUGCCAGAUGUGCAUAAUGAAGGUUGCCAGGUGUGUGUAACGAGGGUUGCCAGGUGUGUGUAAUGAGGGUUGCCAGAUGUGCAAAAUUAAGGUUGCCAGGUGUGAGUAAUGAAGGUUGCCAGGUGUGAGUAAUGAAGGUUGCCAGGGGUGCGUAAUGAAGGUUGCCAGAUGUGCGUAAUGAAGGUUGCCAGGUGUGAGUAAUGAAGGUUGUCAGGUGUGUGUAAUGAAGGUUGCCAGAAGUGAAUAAUGAGGGUUUCCAGAAGUGCAUAAUGAAGGUUGCCAGGUGUGUGUAACGAGGGUUGCCAGGUGUGUGCAAUGAGGGUUGCCAGAUGUGCAAAAUGAAGGUUGCCAGGUGUGAGUAAUGAAGGUUGCCAGGUGUGAGUAAUGAAGGUUGCCAGGUGUACGUAAUGAAGGUUGCCAGGUGUGCGUAAUGAGGGUUGCCAGAUGUGCAUAAUGAAGGUUGCCAGGUAUGAGUAAUGAGGGUUACCAGAUGUGUGUAAUGAAGGUUGCCAGGUGUGGGUAAUGAUGGGUUGCCAGGACCGGUGCUUAGUAGACUGGUGACGUUGCGCACCGGAGAGGGGGAGCAGGAGUAGACGUGACAGUCUUAAUGUGAAUGAAACUGCUUUACUGUACUGGCUCAAAGCAUUGGAGGUGAUUGGGGAAUGUUUUGACACAAAAUGGCUGCAGUGCUUACAUCACAAACCCAGCUGCUAUCUCGAAAACGUAAUUAGCUAAAUGUUAAAGCAAAAGCCUGCUCACCCAAUAGCUCUCUAGGAGGAGGGUGGGCAGAACCUUGUGUAGCUGAAUCAUCUGUGUUAGUGCAGGGCUGGAGAAAAAGCCUGCUCACCUACUGUGGUAGCUCCAGGCCUGCAGUGUAGCAUGUGUGGAGGAGUGAUAUUUGUAUGGCUACAGAAUGUUCCUAUCAACUGUAUUGUACAGCUUCACAGCUCCACCACCCUGAGGAUAGUAGAGCUGCUUCAAACACCACCACCACCACCACUCUCUAACCCCUACACAUCGCUUCCUGGGUGGAAAUAAAGAUGUGUGUGUACAUCCAUCUCUCUCUCUCUGUGGGUGUGUUAAACGAAGUGUACAGCGUGUGUGUGUGUGUGUG